This is a long non-coding RNA of Monodelphis domestica (gray short-tailed opossum), 937 nucleotides long. Lineage: Eukaryota; Metazoa; Chordata; Mammalia; Didelphimorphia; Didelphidae. The record is from Ensembl.
GAACAGAGACUUGUAUGUUGUUAAUAUUUAUAUUUUUCUUACAGAAGGAUAUUCAGGAAAAGAUAAACCUCAUUAGGCUUCAUGUAAAGGUCUUUGAGGAAUUUCAACUUAAAGAGGAGAAACCCUUGGCCUGGGCUGUGGUGUGGACUAACUCUAAAUAUAAGGACAGAGACAUUUUUGAGGAAAAAAUCUAUGGAAUAUGGGAACACCUGCAAAAGAAGAUGGAGACACUAGACAUGAAAGAACUCAGAAUGGGAAAGGGGAAUGAGAAGUUCAGUGAGCUCUAUCAGAAGCUGAAGGAGAGGGAAGCUAUAUGGGAACAGGACAUCAUGAAGCAAAAAAGGGAAUGGGAACCCAAGGUGUCCAGAAAAAUCAGAUAUCUAAAAGACAUAACCAGAGAUUUUGAAGAAAAGAUUCAGAAAUCAAACGUGGAACUAUUAAAGGAUUUGUUCCGUGAGAGUAGAAGCAUGUUUGUAGAUGCAUAUUUGGAACCUUUCAUUCCACAUAUGAAUGAUUUGUAUCUCAUUGUGGUAAAUGAAUUUUUAGAAUUCUUUCAUACAUUUGGACUGUGGCAGCCCUGGAAUUCAUACAAUCUUCUUGAAGGAGAAAAGAAGAGAACUAUUACAUGUGUACCUGGAUCCUCAGGAGAGACAUUUGUUAUUUAUAAUAUUGGCAAUUUUCACAAGGACAAUGUUAGGAUAAGACCCUUCUCAUUGAAUAAUUGCUUUCAGAGUAGUAUUUUAGAAGAAAAACACUCUCCAAUUAUUAGCAAUCUUGUAGAGAUAGAAUUUUAAUUUAGAGUUUCCUCAGUGUGAAUCCUGUCAAACUGCCUUAGGUGGAACUUUGAGCUAAGGUCUUGCUUGGGAAUUCUGUGAGACCUGAGGAGGUGGAAGUUCUGUUUAAUAAAACUGUCUCUCUCUCUGCUGGUGGCUAAAUC